AGAGUUUGAUCCUGGCUCAGAAUGAACGCUGGCGGCGUGCUUAACACAUGCAAGUCGAACGAGAAAGGGAUUGCUUGCAAUCCCGAGUAGAGUGGCGCACGGGUGAGUAACACGUAGAUAAUCUGCCUUCAUGCCUGGGAUAACUAUUCGAAAGGGUAGCUAAUACCGGAUAAAGUCGAUCUACACAAGUAGAUUGAUGAAAGAUUGCCUCUUCUUGAAAGCAAUUGUUUGGAGAUGAGUUUGCGUACCAUUAGCUUGUUGGUGGGGUAAAGGCCUACCAAGGCAACGAUGGUUAGCUGGUCUGAGAGGAUGAUCAGCCACACUGGAACUGGAACACGGUCCAGACUCCUACGGGAGGCAGCAGUGAGGAAUUUUGCGCAAUGGGGGCAACCCUGACGCAGCAACGCCGCGUGAGUGAAGAAGGCCUUUGGGUCGUAAAGCUCUGUCAACAGGGAAGAAGUUACAAUUGUUUAAUAGAUGGUUGUAUCGACGGUACCUGUGGAGGAAGCGCCGGCUAACUCCGUGCCAGCAGCCGCGGUAAUACGGGGGGGCGCAAGCGUUAUUCGGAAUUAUUGGGCGUAAAGGGCGCGCAGGCGGUCUUGUCCGUCAGGUGUGAAAGCUCGGGGCUCAACCCCGGAAGUGCACUUGAAACAGCAAGACUUGAAUACGGGAGAGGAAAGCGGAAUUCCUGGUGUAGAGGUGAAAUUCGUAGAUAUCAGGAGGAACACCGAUGGCGAAGGCAGCUUUCUGGACCGAUAUUGACGCUGAGGCGCGAAGGCGUGGGUAGCAAACGGGAUUAGAUACCCUGGUAGUCG
Molecule: ribosomal RNA, 815 nt
Filed under: uncultured bacterium
Lineage: Bacteria
Description: bacterial SSU rRNA
Rfam family: Bacterial small subunit ribosomal RNA
Source: RNAcentral